UCUUGUGGAUAAGGGACGUCUCGUGAUGAAGCCGCAUAGGGCAGAUUCUGAGCUGGAAGGCACCGCCUUCUCACACUGAUCUUCCGUUUAUGCCGCCUGAAGACGUCCCCGGUUUU
Small nucleolar RNA from Anolis carolinensis (green anole), 116 nucleotides. RefSeq annotates it as small nucleolar RNA SNORD90. NCBI's taxonomy places the organism in Eukaryota, Metazoa, Chordata, Lepidosauria, Squamata, Anolidae. The transcript has a single exon. The record is from RefSeq and is a predicted model, not a curated record.